Molecule: unclassified non-coding RNA, 460 nt
Filed under: Meriania sp. Dellinger 146
Lineage: Eukaryota; Viridiplantae; Streptophyta; Magnoliopsida; Myrtales; Melastomataceae
Description: partial contains external transcribed spacer and small subunit ribosomal RNA
Source: RNAcentral
CGCGUCUAGCAGGCUUGUGCGUGUUGCAUUUCGAUCCUCCGGUGGCUUCUCCUUGGGAGGUGUCGGCGGAGCUUUCGGUGUAGCUCGUCUUGCGAUGGGACGACGCGUGAGUGGUGAUUAGGGUAUGUUUCCCGUGCAGGCUCCGUGUCUCCGGCAUCGAACUGCGUGGGUCUAUCUAUUUCACAGGUGGUUUCGCCUCGGCGUUUUAAUGGCCGGUUGCGACCGCUCGUUUGGUUCCUGUGCUCGAUAUCGAAUUCGGUAGUUGGAUGGAUUGUUCUUCCCCGUCAUGGUUUACUGAUCCCCCCACGCCUCGUGCGGCGGCGGCGGAUAUUGUGCGGGCAUCGACGUUUCCCUUUCUAGCCGUUGUACCCCGUUUGGAGCUUCGGCUUGUGAUGGCACGUAAGAUGCUACCGACACUAUCGGGUACGGAGAUUUUUUGGCUACCGCAUCGGCCUUCGAC